UAACAUUGCUGCCUGUGAUGUAUGUGAAAAAACUUUCAAAAAUGUUGCAUGUCUGAGACAUCACAAAAGUAACGUUCAUGAAGUCUCUAUUAAUGCUGCCUGUGAUGUAUGUGAAAAAACUUUCAAAAAUGUGACAAGUCUGAGACGUCACAAAACUUACGUACAUGAAGUCUCUAAUAAUGCAGCCUGUG
Molecule: long non-coding RNA, 191 nt
Organism: Daphnia pulicaria
Lineage: Eukaryota; Metazoa; Arthropoda; Branchiopoda; Diplostraca; Daphniidae
Exons: 3
Source: RefSeq, a predicted model, not a curated record